This is a long non-coding RNA of Acipenser ruthenus (sterlet), 2201 nucleotides long. RefSeq lists it as uncharacterized. NCBI's taxonomy places the organism in Eukaryota, Metazoa, Chordata, Actinopteri, Acipenseriformes, Acipenseridae. The transcript has 4 exons. The record is from RefSeq and is a predicted model, not a curated record.
GAGCCCAGAAAGUGUAAUAGCAGAACUUUGCUCCUCAGUUCUUGCUGAUGGAGUUCAGAAUGUCAAGGUCAGACGGAACCAUGCUUUCCAAGAUUUGCUACGUUGGAUGAACCGAGCUGAUUAUGGUUGGGACAAACAUCUUAAUGUUUCUUUUGUUGGAGAACAAGGGCUUGAUUCUGGAGGACCUAGGCGCAAUCUAAUGGAACUGACUGUUCGUGGACUGAUCAACUGGGGAGGACUUUGGUGUGGGAAAGAAGGACACCUCAUUCCAGCUCCUGACUUUUUAACAUUGCAGAACAGAUCCCAUUGUAUGGCAGGGAGGAUUGUUGGCACUGUUCUCGUUCAGAGUUCUCUACAGCUCAAUAUUUUUGCAGAAUCUCUGAUCAACACCAUUGCAGGAAUCAACCAGUGGUUUGUAGAGGAUGUUGCUGAUGAAACUGUCCAAAGCAAGCUGAAAGAGACUAUCGGGGAAGGAGGCACUGGACUGGCGAUCCAGUUGUGGAGAAAAUAGCAGAAAACAUCAGCUUUCUAGGGGAGGUCAAUGAUGCCCAAAAAAAAGACUUCACCCAAGCGGCUGUAAGAUAUUACACUUCCGCAGUGAAUCGUGCUCAAAUUGAAGAAUUCAAAGAAGGGCUCGAAACAUUUGGAAUUGCAACAUUGAUAAGAAAACAUCCAGAUGUGAUGAAGUUGCUUUUGUGUGGCCAGAAAAGAGCAACAAUACAGCAUGAUGAAGUAUAUGACAUGUUUGAGGCAGAGCUGUCAGAAGUGGGGUCAAAUCAAAGGGAUUUGGAGGAAGAGGCAAUGAUGCAUUUCAGGCUGUUUUUAAGCAGCUUGACAAACCUAAAUGCAGCAUGUUCCUUGGAGGAUCUACUGAGGUUCCUAACUGGAGCAAAACAGUUUCCCAUUGGUGAAUAUGAGAUUCAGCCAACUAUAGAAUUCAUUAGAGGUUCACAAUUCCCAACUGUAAGCACCUGUGGUCUUGUUUUGAGGCUGCCAAUCGGCUUGACAGAAGAACAAUUCAAAACUAAUUUUGAAUUUGCUGUCCGAAGCUGCCAUGACUUUUCCUUUGUUUAGUGUUACCAGUGUGACUGUUGACAUUGAUGUCCAGGACAGAGAGGGCCAUAUCCACAAUCUGUUUUAAAAAGACUACACUUAAAUGUUUAAGUAUAGAACCAUGUACAUUGUCAUUCCCCAUGACUUUUAGGCCACUCAUUGAAGCAAUGUAUUUGAUAAAGAAACAAUGUGCAUACUUUAGAUCCAGGAUAAAUCCACUUCAAUUCUGAAUGUUGUGAAAACCAGGCAGCUCAUAAAUGGCACUUUGAUAAUUAGCAGGAUAAAUAUAACAAUUAAAGUACUGUUUGUUUCAAAUGAGUGGAUUGGAAAGGUAUGUUUAGUAGCCUGACAUCAGAUCAUUAAUCCAAUCUGGUUGUUUUUUUCUUUUGUCAAAAUAGUUUAUAAUAAAUUCAUCCAGAAAGGCGCAUCUGAAGAAGUUUAAAACAAUCAGAAUUGGCCAGUGCUGUUUCAGCGAUAAUAAAAUUGAGGUCUCUAAUCAAAAGAUGUGUAAAGUGUGGCUGCAUGUGUUUUCAGGGCGGGUAUGGGUACAAGGUUUUUUUCUUUAACCUUGUUCACAAUUGUUAUGUCAUUUGUUCAACUGUAGUGUUGUGGAUGUUAACCUUACCAAUGUAAAAAGUUGUCAGUGUUAAUGGGGGUGGGGCAAUUGUACCUUUGCUCUAAAAUGAUGCUGUUGGGUAAGAACUUAAGAUUUGACCUGUGCUGAUUACUGUUACUACUUGGUUUUGUAAUAUUACUGUAGGUAGGGUAGACCAACAAUGGCAAUCUGUCUCCUGUAUCAACAGGAUAUAAUAUAUAUUAUUAUUUUAUUAUUAUUAUUUAUUUCUUAACAGACGCCCUUAUCCAGGGCGACUUACAAUUGUUACAAGAUAUCACAUUAUUUUCUACAUUCAAUUACAUUAUUUUUUACAUACAAUUACCCAUUUAUACAGCUGGGUUUUUACUGGAGCAAUCUGGGUAAAGUACCUUGCUCAAGGGUACAGCAGCAGUGUCCUCCACCGGGGAUUGAACCCACAACCCUCCGGUCAAGAGUCCAGAGCCCUAACCACUACUCCACACUGCUGUGUUAGUAGAUUCUGACAUUUGCUGUAAAUGUUCAUCUUAACAAAUGACUGCUUAAGGUCAUUUAA